This 301-nucleotide ribosomal RNA is filed under the name uncultured bacterium. RNAcentral's name for it is "partial 16S ribosomal RNA". It matches the Rfam family "Bacterial small subunit ribosomal RNA", at positions 509 to 807 of the family's 1533-position model. The record is from RNAcentral.
CAGCCGCCGCGGUAAUACGAAGGGGGCUAGCGUUGCUCGGAAUGACUGGGCGUAAAGGGCGCGUAGGCGGCUGUUACAGUCAGACGUGAAAUUCCUGGGCUCAACCUAGGGGCUGCGUUUGAUACGUGAUGGCUCGAGUUCGGAAGAGGGUCGUGGAAUUCCCAGUGUAGAGGUGAAAUUCGUAGAUAUUGGGAAGAACACCGGUGGCGAAGGCGGCGACCUGGUCCGAUACUGACGCUGAGGCGCGAAAGCGUGGGGAGCAAACAGGAUUAGAUACCCCAGUAGUCCCUGUCUCUUAUAC